Helianthus annuus (common sunflower) is the source of this 1064-nucleotide long non-coding RNA. RefSeq lists it as uncharacterized. The transcript is spliced from 2 exons. Lineage: Eukaryota; Viridiplantae; Streptophyta; Magnoliopsida; Asterales; Asteraceae. The record is from RefSeq and is a predicted model, not a curated record.
AUUUGUAAAAUGAUUAAGAAAUAUGGUUAUUUUUAUUUUUUUUUUCUAUUUGAAAUUCCCGCCACGUUUUUCUUGAAAGCUGAGGAGAAAUCCCCAAAUUGGAACUUCAGCCUUUUAAAUUUUCUCGCCAUUCCACUUACUUCUUUCGCAUGAAAAAUCCCCAAAUUCGAUCGCUAUUGUUGCCUUUUAAAAUUUCUCGCCAUUCCACUUUGCGAAGGUGUUUGGGGUUCCUUAUUUUGAGGGUAAAAGGACUUUUGAAGGGCAAAAGGACUUUUGAAAAGUGUUUGGCUUUCCUUUUGAAGGGCAAAAGUCCUUUGGAUUUGCCAAAAGUCAGGAUUUCCUGACUUAUUUUGGGCAAAAGUUGAAAAUAAGCUAAGCCAAACAUGCCCUGCAAAAACGAAGCGUUGCCUAGAAAAUCGGUUAAUGUUGCCGUUAAUUGCGACAUCAACGCCAUUGAUUGCUUUCACGCUUUGCUACCCAAGAUGAGUCAUAAGUCGAUCUGUGCCCCUUUUUAUUCUCUCGAUUUCUACCUUUCUCUCGGUCCUUUCUCAGUUUCCAUCAUCGAUUUCUUGCGUUUAAAUCCAUUUAUAUUUCUGGCCUGUUGUGGUGCGGAUCUCAGACCUGCGGUGGUGCGGACGUGCGGUGCUGGUCUACUUCUCCGGUGGGCAGUGACGGACAACUGGCGGUGGUUAACUGUUGCAGAAUUCUAGGUUUGUGGUGGUCCUGGUCGACGCAGGAGACAGUAGCCAAGAGGAGGUUUACUGUAUACAUUUAAUCCUUACAGAACAUAAAGCUUGGUCAAGUUGUAUCUUUCUUUGCUAAACUUUUACAAGUAUAUUUGUUGACUUUAUGAGGCAUUUAAGUUUUGAUUCUCUUAUGCUAAAGUUGAAUGGUUUUACCAAUUUUAUAUUCAGUCAUGAGUAGUAGUACUCACUGUUUAGUUUUAGGUUUUAUAAUUUAAGAAACCAAGUAAAUAACAAAAUAAAGUGCUAUUUUCAUAUGUAACUGUGAGUUUGUCAUUUAGAGAAAGAUAUGUAACUGUGGUUGCAGAACAAGUUGUUCCA